UAUUGGUCAAUGGCCUAACGGCUGAACCAGCAACUUGAAGGGAUGUCCCGUUUUAAACAGGUUAAAAGACAAAAGCUAAUUAAAGUUUUUAGCGGUUUUUCCGUAUAAAGAUCUGAUAGGAUACUGAUAAUGACAAUAUUCUAUAUAAGUCUUGACUAACACACGUGCCAGCGGUCGCGGUAAGACGGGAAAGGCAAGGGUUAUUCAUCUUUAUUAGGUAUAAAGGGUACCUAGACAGCAUAGUAGGCUAAUAUAAGAAUAGUUAUGCUAGAGUUUUAUGUGAGAGGGAUUUAGUAUGAAUGGAGGAGAGAUAAAAUUCUUUGAUACUGUUUGGCACUGAUCACGGCGAAGGCAGACCUUUAUGUAAAAACUGACGUUGAGGGACGAAGGCUCGGGUAGCAAACAGGAUUAGAGACCCUAAUAGUCUGGGCAGAAAAUGAUGAGUGUUAUAGAUUAGACUAGUGUUGGUCUAUCAAUGAAAGUGUAAGCAUUCCACCUCAAGAGUAAUGUGGCAACGCAGGAACUGAAAUCAUUAGACCGUAUUUGAAACCAGUAGUGAAGUAUGUUAUUUAAUUCGAUAACCCUCGAAAAAUCUUACCACAAAUUGUAUAUUUUUUAACAUAGUAAAACAUAAUUGUUUUACCUGGAACCUCUUUUUUAAGAAAUGUUAUUUUUUACAAGCGCUGCAUGGCUGUCUUAAGUUAAUGUCGUGAGACCUAGGUCUAUUCCGUAUAAUUAACGUAACCCCUCUUCACAUUUUAAAUGCGUCGGCCCUCUAGUAUAUCGGAAAGGUAAAAGGGAACAAGACAAGCCCUCA
RNAcentral lists this ribosomal RNA (817 nucleotides) under Arthonia biatoricola. Its description in RNAcentral is "mitochondrial SSU rRNA". It matches the Rfam family "Bacterial small subunit ribosomal RNA", at positions 362 to 1195 of the family's 1533-position model. Lineage: Eukaryota; Fungi; Ascomycota; Arthoniomycetes; Arthoniales; Arthoniaceae. The record is from RNAcentral.